UCGAGAAUCUUCGGCAAUGGGCGCAAGCCUGACCGAGCGACGCCGCGUGUGGGAUGAAGGCCCUUGGGUUGUAAACCACUGUCAGAGGGGAUGAAAUGCAGGAGAGUUAUCUCUUCUGUUUGACAUAGCCUCAGAGGAAGCACGGGCUAAGUUCGUGCCAGCAGCCGCGGUAAUACGAACUGUGCGAACGUUAUUCGGAAUCACUGGGCUUACAGGGUGCGUAGGCGGCUUGUUAAGUAGGGUGUGAAAUCCCCCGGCUCAACCGGGGAAUGGCGCCCUAAACUGGCGAGCUAGAGUGAGAUAGGGGUGUGUGGAACUUCCGGUGGAGCGGUGAAAUGUGUUGAUAUCGGAAGGAACGCCGGUGGCGAAAGCGACACACUGGAUCUUGUCUGACGCUGAGGCACGAAAGCCAGGGGAGCGAACGGGAUUAGAUACCCCCGUAGUCC
This 446-nucleotide ribosomal RNA is filed under the name uncultured bacterium. RNAcentral describes it as "bacterial SSU rRNA". It matches the Rfam family "Bacterial small subunit ribosomal RNA", at positions 355 to 796 of the family's 1533-position model. The record is from RNAcentral.